GAUGAACGCUGGCGGCGUGCCUAAUACAUGCAAGUCGAGCGAACAGAUGAGGAGCUUGCUCCUCUGACGUUAGCGGCGGACGGGUGAGUAACACGUGGAUAACCUACCUAUAAGACUGAGAUAACUUCGGGAAACCGGAGCUAAUACCGGAUAAUAUAUUGAACCGCAUGGUUCAAUAGUGAAAGACGGUUUUGCUGUCACUUAUAGAUGGAUCCGCGCCGCAUUAGCUAGUUGGUAAGGUAACGGCUUACCAAGGCGACGAUGCGUAGCCGACCUGAGAGGAUGAUCAGCCACACUGGAACUGAGACACGGUCCAGACUCCUACGGGAGGCAGCAGUAGGGAAUCUUGCGCAAUGGGCGAAAGCCUGACGCAGCAACGCCGCGUGAGUGAGGAAGGUCUUCGGAUCGUAAAACUCUGUUAGUAGGGAGGAACAACAGUGUAAGUAAAUAUGCACGUCUUGACGGUACCUAAUCAAAAAGCCACGGCUAACUACGUG
Molecule: ribosomal RNA, 497 nt
Filed under: uncultured bacterium
Lineage: Bacteria
Description: partial 16S ribosomal RNA
Rfam family: Bacterial small subunit ribosomal RNA
Source: RNAcentral